Molecule: long non-coding RNA, 1148 nt
Filed under: Olea europaea (common olive)
Lineage: Eukaryota; Viridiplantae; Streptophyta; Magnoliopsida; Lamiales; Oleaceae
Description: long non-coding RNA (OEUR_LNC013239)
Source: RNAcentral
AGGAAGAUCCUGCCGACUUCUACAAAGCUCCAAUAAGUCGGGAUCAGUAGAAUUAAGUUGGCCUACUCGACGAACAAAAAAGCGCCGAAUCUCUCCAUAAUUGGUCAACAUAAUCAGUUCAUCUAAAAUAACAUUAAUUUUAUCUUUGCGUAUUGUAAUAGGUGGUGUUGAAGUAAGGUUAGCAACAGAUUCAGGUUGAGGGUCCACAAAUAGAGGUAGAAAAGGAUUAUCGGAAGGAUUAAUAUGAUCCUUAUAAGCAACUAAGUCCUCAACGUUGAAAGUAGAGUAACAGCCAAAGUGUGAUGGAAGAUCAAUGACGUACGCAUUUGGACCAACAAGCUUUAAAAUUUUAAAAGAACUAACACUACAGACUUGCAACUUGGAAGUGGAUCAAAAUGGACGUCAUUCCGACCUAAUUCAAAUCAUCACAUUAUCCCCUAUAUUAAAUUCAACAUGUCAUUUAUGCAAAUCAGUUUAAGUUCAUAUGAUGUCCUAACACAAAAUCCAUACUAACAUCUUGCAACAGACAACUAGGGAUGCGAAGAGUGGCGCAGAGACCAGCGUUUUGCCUCUUCUGUUUGGUCAGCUUACAGGUGUCAACUAUCUUAGCUAUAUCUAUCUUCAAACAAGGCCAAUAAAACUAACGUUCAACCUUCUCGAUGGUCUUAUCAAGUCGAAACAAGCCCCAGCAUAACUUUCCCAAACUAUAGUCUCAUACUGAGAUUUAAGGGAUACACAACUUAUUGGACCAUAAAAAAAAUAGCCUUCCACAAUAUGAAAACCAUCAGUAGUAUCCGAUUGCCCACUUUGCAAGGCAAGAAAAAUGUCUUUAAAAUUGGGAUAUUACUCGUAUUCUUUCUUAAGUCUUUCAGAACCUAUGACCAAGACACUUAUGAUCUAGGAAGCACCGACACGCUCCCGGCGACGACGUACCGGUGUCCGACACGAGUCGGACACCGAUACGCGUCCGACACGUCGCCGACGCGUGUCGGAGUCACGGAGUCGUGUGGUUGUGGUGGGCUGAAAAAAAGAAACCGGUGGAAAGAAAGAAGAAAAAAGAGAAGAAGAAGAAGAAGAAGAAGAAGAAGAGGAAGAGGAAGAUGAAGAACCUGUUACCUGUUGAGUGUUGAUUGUCAGGCAUAGACAGA